RNAcentral lists this ribosomal RNA (455 nucleotides) under uncultured bacterium. Its description in RNAcentral is "bacterial SSU rRNA". It matches the Rfam family "Bacterial small subunit ribosomal RNA", at positions 340 to 786 of the family's 1533-position model. The record is from RNAcentral.
UACGGAAGGCAGCAGUGGGGAAUAUUGCACAAUGGGCGAAAGCCUGAUGCAGCUAUGCCGCGUGUAUGAAGAAGGCCUUAGGGUUGUAAAGUACUUUCAUCGGGGAGGAAAAAACAAAACUAAUAAUUUUAUUUCUUGACGUUACCCGAAAAAGAAGCACCGGCUAACUCCGUGCCAGCAGCCGCGGUAAUACGGAGGGUGCUAGCGUUAAUCAGAAUUACUGGGCGUAAAGAGCACGUAGGUGGUUUUUUAAGUUCAGAUGUGAAAUCCCUGGGCUUAACCUAGGAACUGCAUUUGAAACUGAAAUACUAGAGUAUCGUAGAGGGAGGUAGAAUUCUAGGUGUAGCGGUGAAAUGCGUAGAUAUCUGGAGGAAUACCUGUGGCGAAAGCGGCCUCCUAAACGAAUACUGACACUGAGGUGCGAAAGCGUGGGGAGCAAACAGGGAUUAGAUACC